AUUGAACGCUGGCGGCAUGCCUAACACAUGCAAGUCGAGCGGCAGCGCGGGGCUCGCCCUUGCGGUGAGUGGCGAACGGGUGAGUAAUGCAUAGGAACGUGCCCAGUAGUGGGGGAUAGCGCGGCGAAAGCCGCGCUAAUACCGCAUACGACCUGAGGGUGAAAGUGGGGGAUCGUAAGACCUCGCGCUAUUGGAGCAGCCUAGGUCGGAUUAGCUAGUUGGUGGGGUAAAGGCUUACCAAGGCGACGAUCCGUAGCUGGUCUGAGAGGACGACCAGCCACACUGGAACUGAGACACGGCCCAGACUCCUACGGGAGGCAGCAGUGGGGAAUUUUGGACAAUGGGGGCAACCCUGAUCCAGCCAUGCCGCGUGCGGGAAGAAGGUCUUCGGAUUGUAAACCGCUUUUGUUCGGGAAGAAGGCCUGUGAGCUAAUACCUCGGGGGGAUGACGGUACCGGAAGAAUAAGCACCGGCUAACUACGUG
Molecule: ribosomal RNA, 484 nt
Filed under: uncultured bacterium
Lineage: Bacteria
Description: partial 16S ribosomal RNA
Rfam family: Bacterial small subunit ribosomal RNA
Source: RNAcentral